Molecule: non-coding RNA, 92 nt
Organism: Cordylochernes scorpioides
Lineage: Eukaryota; Metazoa; Arthropoda; Arachnida; Pseudoscorpiones; Chernetidae
Source: the annotation of a GenBank genome assembly
AGGUUCCCACGCCGGGAAUCGAACCCGGGCCUUCUGGGUGAAAGCCAGAGACCCUAGCCCCUAACACACUAUUAAAUUAUUUGGAUUAGGUC